This 492-nucleotide ribosomal RNA is filed under the name uncultured bacterium. RNAcentral describes it as "partial 16S ribosomal RNA". It matches the Rfam family "Bacterial small subunit ribosomal RNA", at positions 29 to 507 of the family's 1533-position model. The record is from RNAcentral.
AGUGAACGCUGGCGGUAGGCCUAACACAUGCAAGUCGAACGGCAGCACAGUAAGAGCUUGCUCUUACGGGUGGCGAGUGGCGGACGGGUGAGGAAUACAUCGGAAUCUACUUUUUCGUGGGGGAUAACGUAGGGAAACUUACGCUAAUACCGCAUACGACCUACGGGUGAAAGCAGGGGAUCUUCGGACCUUGCGCGAUUGAAUGAGCCGAUGUCGGAUUAGCUAGUUGGCGGGGUAAAGGCCCACCAAGGCGACGAACCGUAGCUGGUCUGAGAGGAUGAUCAGCCACACUGGAACUGAGACACGGUCCAGACUCCUACGGGAGGCAGCAGUGAGGAAUAUUGGACAAUGGGCGCAAGCCUGAUCCAGCCAUACCGCGUGGGUGAAGAAGGCCUUCGGGUUGUAAAGCCCUUUUGUUGGGAAAGAAAAGCAGCAGGUUAAUACCCCGCUGUUCUGACGGUACCCAAAGAAUAAGCACCGGCUAACUUCGUG